UACGGAGGGUGCGAGCGUUGUCCGGAAUCACUGGGCGUAAAGGGCGUGUAGGCGGCAUGCCAAGCGUGUGGUGAAAGCCCGGGGCUCAACCCCGGGUCGGCCGUGCGGACUGGCGUGCUCGAGCACUGUAGGGGCGGGUGGAAUUCCGGGUGUAGCGGUGGAAUGCGUAGAGAACCGGAAGAACACCGGUGGCGAAGGCGGCCCGCUGGGCAGGAAGGCUCGCAAGAGCCGGCUGACGCUGAGGCGCGACAGCGUGGGGAGCAAACAGG
Molecule: ribosomal RNA, 269 nt
Filed under: uncultured bacterium
Lineage: Bacteria
Description: partial 16S ribosomal RNA
Rfam family: Bacterial small subunit ribosomal RNA
Source: RNAcentral